This 446-nucleotide ribosomal RNA is filed under the name uncultured bacterium. RNAcentral describes it as "partial 16S ribosomal RNA". It matches the Rfam family "Bacterial small subunit ribosomal RNA", at positions 338 to 795 of the family's 1533-position model. The record is from RNAcentral.
CCUACGGGAGGCUGCAGUCGAGAAUCAUUCACAAUGGGGGAAACCCUGAUGGUGCGACGCCGCGUGGGGGAAUGAAGGUCUUCGGAUUGUAAACCCCUGUCAUGUGGGAGCAAAUUAAAAAGAUAGUACCACAAGAGGAAGAGACGGCUAACUCUGUGCCAGCAGCCGCGGUAAUACAGAGGUCUCAAGCGUUGUUCGGAAUCACUGGGCGUAAGGCGUGCGUAGGCUGUUUCGUAAGUCGUGUGUGAAAGGCGCGGGCUCAACCCGCGGACUGCACAUGAUACUGCGAGACUAGAGUAAUGGAGGGGGAACCGGAAUUCUCGGUGUAGCAGUGAAAUGCGUAGAUAUCGAGAGGAACACUCGUGGCGAAGGCGGGUUCCUGGACAUUAACUGACGCUGAGGCACGAAGGCCAGGGGAGCGAAAGGGAUUAGAUACCCUAGUAGUC